Erinaceus europaeus (western European hedgehog) is the source of this 192-nucleotide non-coding RNA. The record is from Rfam. NCBI's taxonomy places the organism in Eukaryota, Metazoa, Chordata, Mammalia, Eulipotyphla, Erinaceidae.
AUCGCUUCUCAGCCUUUUGGCUAAGAUCAAGUGUAGUACAUGUUUUUAUCAGUAGAGUACCUAAGGAUUAAAGGUUUGUGUUCUUCUAAAUAACCAUUAUUAUUAUGUGAUUGCUUUAUUCCCAAAGGUCACUAUUAAAUGCAAUGGAUCUGUGCUCAUCUGAUCAUUACUGAUAAAAAAAAAAGCAUUUGU